This 7512-nucleotide long non-coding RNA is filed under the name Gossypium raimondii (Peruvian cotton). RNAcentral describes it as "long non-coding RNA (GRAI_LNC008642)". The record is from RNAcentral. Lineage: Eukaryota; Viridiplantae; Streptophyta; Magnoliopsida; Malvales; Malvaceae.
AUGUCGAAAUUUUCGAACGAAAUUUUCACGAAAUCAUUUUGAGAAAUAUUAGACCAUAAAAAUAUAAUAAAAAUAAAUUUUAUUCUCAUUGGAUUUGUUGUCCCGAAACUACUGUUCCAAUUAGGCCCAAAAUCUAGCUGUUACAUGGCAUACCAUCCUCCUCUAAAGCCUUCGUGGGAUACAUACUCUUUACCGCCAUACCAAUCUCUUCUUCAGUAAAACGGGACCACAAAAAAUCAUGCAUGCCAUCAGUAACAUAAACCAGGAUUCCCUUCAAAAGCCUUGUACUAUCCCCUACCCCUCGAAGUAAACAGAUCUGUAAAAUAACUACAUGCAAUCUCCUCAUUUCCCACUCUCACUCGUCCUUCUUCACCUUUAAGCUGCCCACACAUUUAAUCUUCUUGUGUUGAGAAGCUAUUCUAUGAAAAAACCUCAUGUUACGAUCCCCGCUUCUCAAUCAAUUAGCCCUUGCUCUCUAUUCCCAAUAACGCUCUCAUUUGUCGAACUCCAAAUUAAGUUGCAUUUUCGUGAUAACUAGUUCCUCCAAAGUUUUAUUAUUCGGAUAUGAAUUGUAACACCCCUAACCCGUAUCCGUCGCUAAAAUAGGGUUACGGAGCAUUACCGUAAAAACAUAACUUAAAAAUAUUCAUUUUCAAGAAUUUCAUAAAUAAUAGCAUAAUCUAUUCAAACACGUGCAUAUCGUCCCUUGUUCGAGCCAUUGAGACCUUAGAAACACUUUAGAAAUGAUUCAGGACUAAAUCAGAAUCAUAUGAAACCUUAAGGAAAAAGUUAGGAAAAUUCACACUGCAGGGGUCACACGGCUGAGACACACGCUCGUGUCUCAAGCCGUGUAACAUUAGAAAUAGGAACACACGACCGUGUCCCAGCCCGUGCAUGUGCCUGUGUAACUCUCUGACUUGGGUCACAUGGCCAAGACACACGCCCAUGUGCCAGGCCGUGUAACUUUCGAAAUGACCUCACACGCCCGUGUGCCAGACCGUGUGCUAGGUCAUGUAACUGCCUGACUUGGAACCCUUUAAAACCUAUAGGGGACCCACGGUUGAGACACACGCCCGUGUCUUAGGCCGUGUGGACAAGAAAUUGGCCAAAAUCAAGUCAUUUCUUUCACCCAUUUCCAACAAGUACCUACAAGCCAUAUGCACCUAUGAACAAGGUACCAAAACAUGCCAAAUCAUACAUAAUAUGGCCAUUUCAACAUACAAACAAUUCAUUCAACCAAUAUGCCAAUAAGGCACCUCAAACAUAAUUCAUUCAGAUCUACUUAAACAUAUGCAUAUUUUAGCCAUUCAUCAACCACUCACAUCUAAUCUAUUUCCAUACAAAACUUACCACAAUUGACCACAUAUCAAAUCACAACCUAACAUACCAAAUUGGUUAUUCAAAACAUACAUUCACUUAGCCAUAUCAACACCAACAAUCAAAGCAGCAAAGUGCCAAAAGCACACCAACCAUAAUACCAUAUAUACAUGCCAAACAUAUCAACUAGAUCAUCAAACACUAGUCCACCUAUACAUGCCAUUAUAACUAUGACCAAAAUAUCAAAAUCUACCGAUAUAAUCUCCGGAUAGUGUGAUAGGUCACUGACGAGCUUCCGAUAAUCUAUAAAACAUAGGAAAGAAAAGCAACGUAAGCAUAUAAUGCUUAGUAAGUUCGUAAAUCAUGAACAUAGCUUACUAUUUCCAAGCAAAAUAUUAUAAAAUAGACAUGGCACAAGCCUAAGCAUCAUCAACAACACAAGUUAGUGCUUAAACACAUAACUUAACAAAUUCAUCACAUGGUAAGAUAGAUUUUAUGAACAUAGCACAUUUGAAUUCAUAAUUUUUAUAAACAUGGUUAUACAUAAUUUGAUCAUGAACAAUUAUACCUUUCCAUAAGUUCUUAACUUAGCUAUUGGAGCACUUACUAUUCAUUCCUUUUUCAUACCCGUUGAACCACUUAGAAUAAUAUCGGAUACACGAGACGCUCACAUAAAGUGUGUUAAACAUAUGGUGGAAAUCAUUCAUUUUUCUUUCCCUUUACAUCGAUGCUCACUCGAGCCAAAAAUAGGUCUGCUCACACAAGCUGACAGUCAGAAUGUAGCUACAUGAUGCCGCUCACACAAGCUGAUGAGUAUCCACAACAAAUGUCAAAACUCAUCCAUCAGCAGAACAUUCAGCAGCAACACCCAAAACAUGGUAACCCUAAUGACAUGUCAUUUGUAUCCUAUAUAUUCUUAAGGUUCAAACGAGGCUCGAUAGUCGUCAUAACAUUGUUGGAUUUUCAUUGUAACAUGACAUGAUAACUAACAUAAUAGCAUGUAAAUCAAAUAACAUUAAAACGUUAUUUAAACAUACAAACUUAACUCGAUUUUAAAGAUGUCGAAAUAUGAUCACUAAUCUAAGACUUUAUCUUUUCCCCAAUCUGGAUCCGUACAAUGCUUAAAUUGAUCUAAAUAAGCAAUUUUAAUCCAUUUAAUAUUCAUUCUAUUUAAUUCAGUCCAAAAUUUAUACUGUUAAAAAAUUACAUUUUCCCCUAAUGUUUUAACUUCUUUACAAUUUAGUUUUUAAGCUCGUAAAUUAACAUUUAUGCAAUUUCAUCCAUAUAUCAUGCUUGCCGAUUUACCUAGGGACUCAUAUCAACCCACACAAAUCAUCAAUUCACAAUUUUAUCAUGAUAUUUUACUACUUUUACAUAUAGGUCCCUAUAUGAUAAUUUCAUAAAAAAUCACUUCACAAAAGUUGUUUAUUUAACAGCAAGGACUUAUAAUCUUUCAUAAAUUUUCAAGAAUCAUGCAAACAUGUUCAUGGAAAAAUCCUAAACCUUUAAAUGUUUUGCAAAUUAGUCCAUGAGCUAGUUAGAUUAAGCUACAAUGAUCUCGAAAACAUAAGAAUCAUUAAAAAAAAGAAACAAAAUUAUACUCACAUGCAAGCAAAGACUUGGCUGAACCUUGAAACUUAAUUUUCGAUAAUUAUACUCACAUUCUAAGCUUAAUUUUCGAUGGAUGAAAGCAUUUUUGAAAGAUGACAUUUUGUUAUUCUUCAUUUUACUUAACUUAUUUAUUAAUUUACUUUAUUAACCUUUAACUUUUAACUUAAAAAUCAUUUAAUUCAUGCCCAUAAAUGUCCACUCAUAAUAAUAAUGGUCUAGUUACCAUAUAAAUCCCUUAAAAAUUUAAUUUCAUAGCUAAUAGACACCUUUAACUAAUGGAACUAUACUUUUUCACCUUUUACAAUUUAGUCCUUUUUACUUAAUUAAGCAUGCAAACGUUAAAAUUUCUUUAUGAAAUUUUUAUACGACACUACUAACAUACCGUAGACAUUAAAAUAAUAGAAUAAAUAUUUUUAUGUUAUAUUUGUAGUCCUGAAACUACUAUUUUGAUUUUACUGAAAACGGGCUAUUAUAUAAAUUAUUUAACUCAUCAAGCUUCUGCCGUAAUAUGUCCAUGGUCAUUUGUGACAACCUUUGAGUCUCUAGAGCCCAAUUCAUUAAGCCACAUCUUACUUAUUGAAUUUGAUCAGGUAUCUACCCAUUCGAAUUGUUCCAUAAUUAUCUAACUUCUCAUUCACAAGACUCCUUAAGCAAACAUGUAACCUUAAACUGAAACACACACACCCUCUAUUCCUAUCAAUCAACCCACUUAUAGGUAUUAACCAAAAGUGGGAAAUGGUCUGAUAUUGAAUGCACACAAUGCUGAAGACAAUAGUUAGGAAAUAAGUCCUUCCAUCCCGGUGUUGUCACACCCUAUCAAGCCUUUCCUAGAUAUUAUUGUGAACCAAUCUCCCUUGAUCCCAUGUAAACCAUUGGCUUUCAUAUCCCAAAUCCACCAAUUCACAAUCCUCAAGAGCCGACCUAAAAGCCAUCACACUUUGCUCAUCACUCAACCUUCCCCAUUGCUUCUCAUGAGAAUACAUAAUCUCAUUGAAAUCUCCCAUAGUCAGCUACAAUUUCGCACAUUCAAUUGAGAGAUCUCGUAAAUGAUCCCAUGAAUGGUGUUUCAAAUUCUUUACCGGAUGCUUGUAAAACCUAAUAAACCUCUAAUUAGCACAUUUUGUUUCUCAUUCAAUACUAACAUCAAUAUGGCUUAACGAAAAGCUUCGAAGAACCACCCUAGUUCCUUACUUCCAUUCUAAAGAGAAUCCCCCAUUGUGCCAUCACUACUGCCAUCAAUUCCUCCAUCAAGCAUCAACUUCUGUGAACUCUCUCCAUCUUUGAACUAUGCAGCUUCAUUUCCAUGAAAAAAGCUAUAUUGGGAUUAAUUUUCCUCAGCACCUGUCGAAUACGACAUCUUGCCCAAGGGCUUUCCAUUUCCCGGACAUUCCAGCAUAAGAUUUUCGUUACAUCCGAUUACCUUACCCUGCAGAGCCAACCGGCAUCUCAGAAUCAUGAACAAAGACAUGUCCAUCAGUAGUUUCCCCGAAUCCAUUCUACUAGAAACUAAAGAAAAUUGAGUACUACGAGGCCUCUUCUUCCCUUCUCCAGUCUCCAUUGGACAAUCCUCUUCUAUCAACUCCUUAUUCGGAUCAAGAUUCUCCAAAUCCCCAAACUCAAAACUUAAUUUUCCCCUAUAUUCAAUCCUAAAUUAGCCCUCGCUUGCCUUAAAAAAUUGUGUUUCGAAACAACCAUUGUACUACACCAUGCUCCCCGUCCUAACCGUUACCUAGUGUUUUCUUCAAUUCACCCAGGUGUGGCCCCUUCCCCUGAUCCCUUAACCAUGGACUCGACGCAACCAUCGCCCAUUUAGGGAUCACUUUAAUAGAUAGGUCCCAUUCAAACUCUAACUUUUUUUCCAUGAAAUUCUGUACAGCUUCGAAAAAAAAGGAGGUAUACCUCGUGAAGAAGGAAGAAUGGAAGUUUUUCGAAAGACAUUGGAGGAAUGUAAUCUAUCAGAUAUUGGGUUUUUUGGAAACUGGUUCACAUGGGAACGGGGGCAUUUACCUAAAACUAAUAUUCAAGAAUGGUUAGAUAGAACGGUGGCGACAGAAGAAUGGUUACAAAUUUUUCCUGAAUUCCAGAUUCAGCAUCUCCCGCACACGUUUUCUGAUCAUUGUCCUUUACUGGUUAACACCAAAAAGGAAAGAAGAGAGAGAACACAAAAAAAUUUCAAGUUUGAAGCAUGGUGGGAUUUAGAGGAGUCGUUUUUUGAUGAGGUCAAAACCAUCUGGGAACAAUCUGAGGGUGAUUUCUUAUUCAAGCUAAACAGUAUGAAAAGGGGGCUGGAGCGCUGGUCUAGACAAAUUCGAAGUUCAAGAGAAGGAAGGAAAAAGUCGUUACACUCAAAAUUGACCAUAUUACACUCAAAAUUGACCAUAUGACAAAAAUUCAGUAGAUCUAAUCGAUACAAAAAUCCAAUUGAAUUUAGAGAUAGAAAAAGAUGAACAGUAUUGGGAACAAAGAGCAAGGGUUAACUGGAUAAAAUUAGGGGAUAAAAACACAGCGUUCUUUCACAAACAAGCAACACAAAAGAGACAGAGGAACUUGAUUCGUAAAAUGUAGGAUGAAAAUGGAAGAGAAACGAACGAAUUACAAGAAAUGGCAAUGAUCGCCAGAAUGUAUUUCCAACAACUUUUCACCGCAGGCAGAAGGGCUAAUUAUGAGCAUGUUUUAUCAGGAGUUUCUCAAUGUAUAUCAGAAGAAGAUAAUUUGAUGCUUAAAGAGAGUUAUACGAAGGAAGAAAUUCAACAGGCUUUGACAGAAUUAGGGCCCACUAAGGCACCCGAGGAAGACGGAUUUCCAGCAUUAUUUUCCCAGAAAUGUUGGGCAAUUAUUGGAGAAGAAAUAACUAAUUUUUAUCUCAAUCAUCUGAAUGGAGGAAUAGAGAUAGAUCAAAUCAACAAAACAGAUAUCGUUUUAAUCCCCAAAAUAUCAAAUCCAGUGGAUAUUUCACAUUUCAGACCCAUUAGUUUGUGCAAUGUUAUAUACAAAUUAAUGGCUAAAGUUAUUGCGAAUCGACUUAGGAAAGUCCUGGACAAAUGCAUUAAUCCUGCACAAAGUGCUUUUGUGCCGGGAAGAUUGAUUUCGGAUAAUGUGUUGCUGGCCUAUGAACUUCUCCAUACGCUAAAACAGAAGAGAGCAGGGAAGAAAUGAUUUAUGGCAGUCAAACUGGAUAUGAGCAAGGCAUAUGAUAGGGCAGAAUGGAGUUUUGUGGAGGAGGUAAUGAAGAAAAUGGGUUUUGACUCAGAGUGGGUGACUAUACUGUUAAGAUGCGUUACUUUAGUUUCUUAUUCAGUGGUUAUUAACAAUCACAUUGGAGAAUCUUUCUAUCCAACUAGAGGACUCCGACAGGGGGACCCAUUGAGUCCGUUUUUAUUUUUAUUUUGUGGAGAAGGUCUUUCUAGUCUUAUGAAGCUGGGUAUGAUGGAGAAUAGAGUAAGAGGAGUUAAGGCAAGCAAAAGUAGGCCACCGGUUUCACAUUUACUUUUUGCAGAUGAUUGUUUGUUGUUCGGGGAAGCUACAGAGAGGAGUUCAAUUUAUUUAAAACAGAUUCUGCAUAAUUAUGAAGUUUGCUCAGGACAAAAAGUAAACUUUUCAAAAUCCACGAUUUUCUUCAGCAGUAAUUCCCAAGAAGAGGAAAGACGAACAAUUACUCGAGUUCUUGGAGUGCGAAGGUCUGACAAUAUGGAAAGAUAUCUAGGGUUACCUAAUUUGGUGGGGAGAAGGAAAAAGGAGGCGUUCCAGAUUUUGAAAGACAAGUUCAAACAACGAAUUGAAAAUUGGAGCAUCAAGUAUCUUUCACAAGGAGGUAAGGAGAUUUUUAUCAAAGCAAUUUUACAAUCCAUACCAACAUACGCAAUGUCUUGUUUUUUACUUCCUAAAUCUUUAUGCAAUGAGUUAGAGGGAAUUAUUGCAAAGUAUUGGUGGCAGAAAAAUAAAAGGAAAAAAGGGAUACAUUGGUGCGCAUGGAAAGACGUUUGUUUACAAAAAGAGUCGGGUGGUUUAGGUUUUAGAAGUUUUAAUAAGUUUAACGUGGCAUUAUUAGCCAAACAGGGUUGGCGUCUUUUCAAUUAUCCGAGUUAUUUGUUAGCCCGAGUUUUAAAAGCCAAAUAUUUCCCAAAAACAAAUUUCUUAAAUGCUUCUUUGGGUAACCUACCUUCACUCACCUGGAGGAGUAUUUGGGCAUCAAAAAAGCUUUUGUUGGACGGCUUAUGUUGGAGAGUUGGAAUAGGGAACAGUAUAUCGAUAUGGAAUGACCGCUGGAUACCAGGAGUUACUGAAGACAAUUUACAGAACAACAGCAGAAAUGAUGGAAUAAGAUUAGUGUCUGACUUAAUCAACGAAGGAAGUAAAACAUGGAACAGAGAUUUGAUUGUCAAUACCUUUACUAUGGAUAUUGCGAAGAAGAUAAUGCAGAUUCCGCUUUCAAAAUCAAGCCAAGCAGACUUUCAGGUAUGGAGAGGGGAGGCGACCGGAAUCUUCUCAGUAAGAAGCACCUAUAAACUAUUACAGGAGUCUACUAUAGAUCCUAAUGCUUAUUUACAGACCCAUAUAAAAAAAAUUUUCAGGAAACUAUGGAAU